GGGUUGUGAGGUUAAGCGACUAAGCGUACACGGUGGAUGCCCUGGCAGUCAGAGGCGAUGAAGGACGUGCUAAUCUGCGAAAAGCGUCGGUAAGGUGAUAUGAACCGUUACAGCCGGCGAUGUCCGAAUGGGGAAACCCAGUGCAAUUCGUUGCACUAUCGUUAACUGAAUACAUAGGUUAACGAGGCGAACCGGGGGAACUGAAACAUCUAAGUACCCCGAGGAAAAGAAAUCAACCGAGAUUCCCCCAGUAGCGGCGAGCGAACGGGGAGCAGCCCAGAGUCUGAAUCAGCUUGUGUGUUAGUGGAACGGUCUGGAAAGUCCGACGGUACAGGGUGAUAGUCCCGUACACCAAAAUGCACAGGCUGUGAACUCGAAGAGUAGGGCGGGACACGUGGUAUCCUGUCUGAAUAUGGGGGGACCAUCCUCCAAGGCUAAAUACUCCUGACUGACCGAUAGUGAACCAGUACCGUGAGGGAAAGGCGAAAAGAACCCCGGCGAGGGGAGUGAAAAAGAACCUGAAACCGUGUACGUACAAGCAGUGGGAGCACCUUAUGGUGUGACUGCGUACCUUUUGUAUAAUGGGUCAGCGACUUAUAUUCUGUAGCAAGGUUAACCGUAUAGGGGAGCCGCAGGGAAACCGAGUCUUAACUGGGCGUUAAGUUGCAGGGUAUAGACCCGAAACCCGGUGAUCUAGCCAUGGGCAGGUUGAAGGUUGGGUAACACUAACUGGAGGACCGAACCGACUAAUGUUGAAAAAUUAGCGGAUGACUUGUGGCUGGGGGUGAAAGGCCAAUCAAACCGGGAGAUAGCUGGUUCUCCCCGAAAGCUAUUUAGGUAGCGCCUCGUGAAUUCAUCUUCGGGGGUAGAGCACUGUUUCGGCUAGGGGGUCAUCCCGACUUACCAACCCGAUGCAAACUACGAAUACCGAAGAAUGUUAUCACGGGAGACACACGGCGGGUGCUAACGUCCGUCGUGAAGAGGGAAACAACCCAGACCGCCAGCUAAGGUCCCAAAGUCACAGUUAAGUGGGAAACGAUGUGGGAAGGCACAGACAGCCAGGAUGUUGGCUUAGAAGCAGCCAUCAUUUAAAGAAAGCGUAAUAGCUCACUGGUCGAGUCGGCCUGCGCGGAAGAUGUAACGGGGCUAAACUGUGCACCGAAGCUGCGGCAGCGACACU
Molecule: ribosomal RNA, 1180 nt
Filed under: Klebsiella aerogenes
Lineage: Bacteria; Pseudomonadati; Pseudomonadota; Gammaproteobacteria; Enterobacterales; Enterobacteriaceae
Description: partial 23S ribosomal RNA
Rfam family: Bacterial large subunit ribosomal RNA
Source: RNAcentral